UAGGGAAUAUUGGACAAUGGGGGCAACCCUGAUCCAGCCAUGCCGCGUGAGUGAAGAAGGCCCCCGGGUUGUAAAGCUCUUUUGUCCGGAAAGAAAAGCAUUCGGUGAAUACCCGGAUGUUCUGACGGUACCGGAAGAAUAAGCACCGGCUAACUUCGUGCCAGCAGCCGCGGUAAUACGAAGGGUGCAAGCGUUACUCGGAAUUACUGGGCGUAAAGCGUGCGUAGGUGGUUGUUUAAGUCUGAUGUGAAAGCCCUGGGCUCAACCUGGGAAUGGCAUUGGAAACUGUGCAGCUAGAGUGCGGUAGAGGGUAGUGGAAUUCCCGGUGUAGCAGUGAAAUGCGUAGAGAUCGAGAGGAACAUCUGUGGCGAAGGCAACUGCCUGGACCAGCACUGACACUGAGGCACGAAAGCGUGGGGAGCAAACA
Molecule: ribosomal RNA, 427 nt
Filed under: uncultured bacterium
Lineage: Bacteria
Description: bacterial SSU rRNA
Rfam family: Bacterial small subunit ribosomal RNA
Source: RNAcentral